RNAcentral lists this ribosomal RNA (253 nucleotides) under uncultured bacterium. RNAcentral's name for it is "partial 16S ribosomal RNA". It matches the Rfam family "Bacterial small subunit ribosomal RNA", at positions 524 to 776 of the family's 1533-position model. The record is from RNAcentral.
UACGGAGGAGGCAAGCGUUAUCCGGAAUUAUUGGGCGUAAAGCGUCCGUAGGUGGUUUAGUAAGUCUGCUGUUAAAGCGCGGGGCUUAACUCCGUAUCGGCAGUGGAAACUACUAGACUAGAGUGUGGUAGGGGUAGAGGGAAUUCCCAGUGUAGCGGUGAAAUGCGUAGAUAUUGGGAAGAACACCGGCGGCGAAGGCGCUCUACUGGGCCAUAACUGACACUGAUGGACGAAAGCUAGGGGAGCGAACAGG